Molecule: non-coding RNA, 103 nt
Organism: Rhodocollybia butyracea
Lineage: Eukaryota; Fungi; Basidiomycota; Agaricomycetes; Agaricales; Omphalotaceae
Source: the annotation of a GenBank genome assembly
GGUGAGAUGGCCGAGUGGUCUAAGGCGCUAGAUUUAGGAUUGGACUUCGGUCCUUGAUUCUCUCUAGUCAUUCGUGGCGUGGGUUCAAAUCCCACUCUCAUCA